RNAcentral lists this ribosomal RNA (253 nucleotides) under uncultured bacterium. RNAcentral's name for it is "partial 16S ribosomal RNA". It matches the Rfam family "Bacterial small subunit ribosomal RNA", at positions 524 to 776 of the family's 1533-position model. The record is from RNAcentral.
GACAGAGGCCUCAAGCGUUAGGCGGAAUCACUGGGCUUAAAGCGUGUGUAGGCGGAUCGUUAAGUGUCUUGUGAAAUCCCACGGCUCACCCGUGGAACUGCUGGGCAUACUGGCGAUCUUGGGCCAACUAGGGGCAACUGGAACAAGCGGUGGAGCGGUGAAAUGCGCAGAUAUCAGGAGGAACACCGGUGGCGAAGGCGGGACUCUGGGCCGAUACUGACGCUGAGGAGCGAAAGCGUGGGGAGCGAACAGG